RNAcentral lists this ribosomal RNA (569 nucleotides) under Vishniacozyma victoriae. Its description in RNAcentral is "partial large subunit ribosomal RNA". It matches the Rfam family "Eukaryotic large subunit ribosomal RNA", at positions 94 to 653 of the family's 3401-position model. Lineage: Eukaryota; Fungi; Basidiomycota; Tremellomycetes; Tremellales; Bulleribasidiaceae. The record is from RNAcentral.
UGAACCGGGAUGAGCUCAAAUUUAAAAUCUGGCGUCUUUCAGGCGUCCGAGUUGUAAUCUAUAGAGGCGUUUUCCGCGCCGGACCGCGUCCAAGUCUCUUGGAAUAGAGUAUCAAAGAGGGUGACAAUCCCGUACUUGACGCGACAACCGGUGCUCUGUGAUACGUUCUCAAUGAGUCGAGUUGUUUGGGAAUGCAGCUCUAAAUGGGUGGUAAAUUCCAUCUAAGGCUAAAUAUUGGCGAGAGACCGAUAGCGAACAAGUACCGUGAGGGAAAGAUGAAAAGCACUUUGGAAAGAGAGUUAAACAGCACGUGAAAUUGUUAAAAGGGAAACGAUUGAAGUCAGUCGUGUGAAAGGUAUUCAGCCGUCUCUGGCGGUGUAUUUGCCUUUCACGGGUCAACAUCAGUUUGAUCCGGUAGAAAAAGGCGGGAGGAAGGUGGCACCCUCGGGUGUGUUAUAGCCUCCUGUCAUAUGUGCCGGACCAGACUGAGGAACGCAGCUUGCCGCAAGGCCGGGGUUCGCCCACGUACAAGCUUAGGAUGUUGACAUAAUGGCUUUAAACGACCCGUC